UCCGGGAGAGGGACGUGGAAUUUCCCCGGUGUAGUGGGUGGAAUGCGUAGAUAUUCGGGGAGGAACCACCAGUGGCGAAGGGCGGCGUCCUUGGCCCGUACCCUGACGUUAAGGACGCGAAAGCCGUGGGUAGCCGAACGGGAUUAGAUUACCCCGGUAGUCCCACCGCUGUAAACCGGUGGAUACUAGGGUGGUUGGGUGGGCUAUCCGUCAUCCAGUGCCGUAGUUAACCGCGUUAAGUAUCCCCGCCUGGGGACUACGGCCGCAAGGCUAAAACUCAAAGGAAUUGACGGGGGCCCGCACAAGCCAGCGGAGGCGUGUGGUUUAAUUCGAGGCAACACGAAGAACCUUACCUGGGCUUGACAUGUACGUAGUAGUGAAGCGAAAGCGGAACGAUCCCUUCCGGGAAGCGUACACAGGUGCCUGCCAUGGCUGUCGUCAGCUCCGUGCCCGUGAGGUGUUCGGUUAAGUCCGGUAACGAGCGCAACCCUCCGCUGUUAGUUACCAUGUGUCUAACGGGACUGCCGGUUUAAUGCCGGAGGAAGGUGGGGAUGACGUCAAGUCAGCAUGGCCUCUAUGUCCAGGGCUACACAC
Molecule: ribosomal RNA, 594 nt
Filed under: uncultured bacterium
Lineage: Bacteria
Description: bacterial SSU rRNA
Rfam family: Bacterial small subunit ribosomal RNA
Source: RNAcentral